Molecule: ribosomal RNA, 368 nt
Filed under: uncultured organism
Description: bacterial LSU rRNA
Rfam family: Bacterial large subunit ribosomal RNA
Source: RNAcentral
CUUUACUGUAGCCUGGAAUUGGGUCCGGGCUUCGCUUGCGCAGGAUAGGUGGGAGGCACUGAAACACUCCUUGUGGGGAGUGUGGAGCCAACGGUGAGAUACCACUCUGUCAGAGCUAGAAUUCUAACUAAAUGCCGUUAUCCGGCUUUGGAACCGUAUCAGGUGGGCAGUUUGACUGGGGCGGUCGCCUCCUAAAAGGUAACGGAGGCGCGCAAAGGUUCCCUCCGGCUGGUUGGAAAUCAGCCCGUGAAGUGCAAAGGCAUAAGGGAGCUUGACUGCAAGAGCCACACCUCGAGCAGGGACGAAAGUCGGCCUUAGUGAUCCGACGGCGCUGAGUGGAAGGGCCGUCGCUCAACGGAUAAAAGUUA